This 73-nucleotide transfer RNA is filed under the name Sarcophilus harrisii (Tasmanian devil). It matches the Rfam family "tRNA". From Rfam's summary of the family: Transfer RNA (tRNA) molecules are approximately 80 nucleotides in length. Their secondary structure includes four short double-helical elements and three loops (D, anti-codon, and T loops). The record is from Rfam by way of RNAcentral. Lineage: Eukaryota; Metazoa; Chordata; Mammalia; Dasyuromorphia; Dasyuridae.
GGUAAUAUCAUUCAUUGGGAAGAAAUUUAACUUUGGAAUCAAAGGGAUACAGGUUCAAAUUCUGUUUUUGCCA